This 459-nucleotide ribosomal RNA is filed under the name uncultured bacterium. RNAcentral describes it as "partial 16S ribosomal RNA". It matches the Rfam family "Bacterial small subunit ribosomal RNA", at positions 28 to 507 of the family's 1533-position model. The record is from RNAcentral.
GAUGAACGCUGGCGGCGCGCCUAACACAUGCAAGUCGAACGGCACCCCUCCUCGGAGGGAAGCGAGUGGCGAACGGCUGAGUAACACGUGGAGAACCUGCCCCCUCCCCCGGGAUAGCCGCCCGAAAGGAUGGGUAAUACCGGAUACCCCGGGGUGCCGCAUGGCACCCCGGCUAAAGCCCCGACGGGAGGGGAUGGCUCCGCGGCCCAUCAGGUAGACGGCGGGGUGACGGCCCACCGUGCCGACAACGGGUAGCCGGGUUGAGAGACCGACCGGCCAGAUUGGGACUGAGACACGGCCCAGACUCCUACGGGAGGCAGCAGUGGGGAAUCUUGCGCAAUGGGGGGAACCCUGACGCAGCGACGCCGCGUGCGGGACGGAGGCCUUCGGGUCGUAAACCGCUUUCAGCAGGGAAGAGUCAAGACUGUACCUGCAGAAGAAGCCCCGGCUAACUACGUG